Mustela lutreola (European mink) is the source of this 1392-nucleotide long non-coding RNA. RefSeq lists it as uncharacterized. The transcript is spliced from 7 exons. Lineage: Eukaryota; Metazoa; Chordata; Mammalia; Carnivora; Mustelidae. The record is from RefSeq and is a predicted model, not a curated record.
UUUGGAUACAAUAACUUUGGAAAAGUCAUUAAAUAUCCAAGAGGAUGAAUAGGACAUUGGGUUUUUGAGUCUGGAGCUUAGGAGAGAGGUCAGCAUGGGGGUUUUGAUUUGGGAGACAUACAAGCAUGGGGCUGAGUGUGGUCCCCCAAAGAAAGAGUGAAUCAGGGGAAGGAUGGGCAGGACAGAGACUUGAGUUAUUUCAACAUUGAGGCCAGCAAGCCUUUUUGAGGGCCUAUGCCCCGGCUGGUAAUACUUACAGCUCACUCUUCUUCAACUCCUCAUUACUGCUUAUGUUUGCAAGGUUCCUCUCAUGGGUCCUGGUAGUUUCCGUGUCUUGGUUUUGAGAUCAGCUCUCUGACCAAAAACUCAUUGGUUGUCUUUUUCUUAUAUUUCUGAAGGCUUUGGAACAGGAAGCAGUUUCCUUCUGGAACGUCCCAUCUGCUAUGUACUUCUCUACUUGUGGAUUUGCUCUGUGUACCUGGAGACAAAUGAGGCACGGAUGGCUGAAUGGGCCUGUCUUCUCUGAUUCACAGUCUCAUUCCUCCUCCUGCAUCCCAUGUCUGCUCAGGACGUAUGGCAGGAGCAGCCACCGCACCUGUGUGAGCACCUGCUUCCACAGACCCAGCUGUCUGGGGCUCACCUGAGCACACCUGUUACCUUUUCCUUCGAAAAGCCGGCCAUUGAUUUCUGACUUCAAAGCCUCCAAUCGUAUAUGGGAAACCUUGGAGGAAGACCUGGCUGAGAGUGUGCACCACCAUUUUGCAUGACUCGCUUCUCUCAUCUCCGAAUGGACCUGUGAUACGAAGAUUGAGCUGCUGAUUAGUGUAAAGGAGAUGAUGUCUGCAGUGCAGUGAACACAUAGCAAGGACUCUCCAAGAAGCACAGACCCAUCUCAAGGUGGGUCAGCGGAAAGAACACUUAGACGGAGGCACAAGGUCAUCCUACACCUUACUGGACCCUUCAUCAUGACUUUCAGGAGAACCAUGGCAAAGUUGAGAGUCAAGAAUGUGGUUUGGAAACCAUGGCAUGAGAGCGUUUCCAGAGAGAUCGUCAGCAGCACCAGUAACAUCUUGGGAGUGAAAUCACCAAAAUUGCUCCAUCGCUACUGGCCAGUCCAGAAGAAGUUCCUUGGUCCUCAUGGUGUUACUAAAAUAUUUGCCAUCGAUUGCCACAUGCCUUCCCUCAAAAGGUGUGCCAUGACUUCUAGGCAUGAGCCUCAGAGAUACACAUUUCCAUCCUACUUCUAGAGGUUUGUGCUCCCUGAUGGCAAAAAUUGACAGGAGUGGAGCAACUCUCUUCCCCUUGGAUGGGACACACAUGACGUGGUGUCAAGUUCAGCCCAAGGGAUUUGUUCAGGGGUCAGCUUCUGUUGCUGCUCAGGAUGGAAGGCAA